AAAUUUAGCAAAAAGUGUGCUAGAAUGUUGGGCAUUUUGGAAAAAUUCAAGAACAAUCAUAGAAUGUAAUUUAAGAGUUAAGAACAUUAAAAAAAACCCUGCUGGACCUAAAGGGGUUUGUGUAAUCAUGAGAUGGAGAACGUGCGACCCUCCACAGUUUGUUGGACUACCUGACCACUGGACACCCUGGCUGGUGCUGAUGGGAGUUGGAGUCCCACAACAUCUGGAGGGCCACAGGUUACCCACCCCUGACUAGCCCAACAUCCUGCCCAGUCAGUGGCCAGCCAGAUGCUACUAGGAAACCUACAACAGAGCUGUUGAACUGGGAGCAGGUAAGCUUGAAAUAACUGACCUGCAGGAUCAAACCAAAUGCCCUUAAUCUAGUCCAGCAUUCACCCUCCAUUUCCAGCAGCAGCCAGUUACAUCACAGAAACUCUCAAGCAAGGCACAAGCAAGGCUCUGUUGUCCCACCCCACCCCCGGCACCUGGUAAUCAGAGUCGUAAAGAAUAAAAAUAUGAUGUGAAGCUGCA
Long non-coding RNA from Podarcis raffonei (Aeolian wall lizard), 531 nucleotides. RefSeq lists it as uncharacterized. The transcript has 2 exons. The record is from RefSeq and is a predicted model, not a curated record. NCBI's taxonomy places the organism in Eukaryota, Metazoa, Chordata, Lepidosauria, Squamata, Lacertidae.